AUUCAGCGGCGGACGGGUGAGUAAUGCCUAGGAAUCUGCCCGAUAGUGGGGGACAACGUUUCGAAAGGAACGCUAAUACCGCAUACGUCCUACGGGAGAAAGCAGGGGACCUUCGGGCCUUGCGCUAUCGGAUGAGCCUAGGUCGGAUUAGCUAGUUGGUGGGGUAAAGGCUCACCAAGGCGACGAUCCGUAACUGGUCUGAGAGGAUGAUCAGUCACACUGGAACUGAGACACGGUCCAGACUCCUACGGGAGGCAGCAGUGGGGAAUAUUGGACAAUGGGCGAAAGCCUGAUCCAGCCAUGCCGCGUGUGUGAAGAAGGUCUUCGGAUUGUAAAGCACUUUAAGCUGGGAGGAAGGGCAGUAAGUUAAUACCUUGCUGUUUUGACGUUACCAGCAGAAUAAGCACCGGCUAACUUCGUGCCAGCAGCCGCGGUAAUACGAAGGGUGCAAGCGUUAAUCGGAAUUACUGGGCGUAAAGCGCGCGUAGGUGGUUCAGCAAGUUGGAUGUGAAAUCCCCGGGCUCAACCUGGGAACUGCUUUCAAAACUGCUGAGCUAGAGUACGGUAGAGGGUGGUGGAAUUUCCUGUGUAGCGGUGAAAUGCGUAGAUAUAGGAAGGAACACCAGUGGCGAAGGCGACCACCUGGACUGAUACUGACACUGAGGUGCGAAAGCGUGGGGAGCAAACAGGAUUAGAUACCCUGGUAGUCCACGCCGUAAACGAUGUCAACUAGCCGUUGGAAUCCUUGAGAUUUUAGUGGCGCAGCUAACGCAUUAAGUUGACCGCCUGGGGAGUACGGCCGCAAGGUUAAAACUCAAAUGAAUUGACGGGGGCCCGCACAAGCGGUG
This 848-nucleotide ribosomal RNA is filed under the name uncultured bacterium. RNAcentral's name for it is "bacterial SSU rRNA". It matches the Rfam family "Bacterial small subunit ribosomal RNA", at positions 90 to 934 of the family's 1533-position model. The record is from RNAcentral.